AUUGAACGCUAGCGGGAUGCCUUACACAUGCAAGUCGAACGGAGUGGCGAACGGGUGCGUAAUGUAUCGGAACGUGCCCCGUAGCGGGGGAUAACUACGCGAAAUCGUAGCUAAUACCGCAUACUAUUGGAGCGGCCGAUAUCGGAUUAGCUAGUUGGUGGGGUAACGGCUCACCAAGGCGACGAUCCGAAGCUGGCUUGAGAGGACGACCAGCCAAACUGGGACUGAGACACGGCCCAGACUCCAACGGGAGGCAGAAGUGGGGAACUUUGGACAAUGGGGGAAGCCCGGAUCCAGACAGCCGCCGUGUGGGAUGAAGGCCUUCGGGUUGUAAAGCACUUUUGGCAGGAAGGCGGUACCUGAAGAGUAAGCACCGGCUAACUACGUGCCAGCAGCCGCGGUAAUAC
Molecule: ribosomal RNA, 407 nt
Filed under: uncultured bacterium
Lineage: Bacteria
Description: partial 16S ribosomal RNA
Rfam family: Bacterial small subunit ribosomal RNA
Source: RNAcentral